RNAcentral lists this transfer RNA (86 nucleotides) under Pseudoalteromonas rubra. RNAcentral describes it as "tRNA-Glu". It matches the Rfam family "tRNA". Rfam says of the family: Transfer RNA (tRNA) molecules are approximately 80 nucleotides in length. Their secondary structure includes four short double-helical elements and three loops (D, anti-codon, and T loops). The record is from RNAcentral. Lineage: Bacteria; Pseudomonadati; Pseudomonadota; Gammaproteobacteria; Alteromonadales; Pseudoalteromonadaceae.
ACAACCGUAGCUCAUCUAUUCAGAGCAACACCACUCUCUAUGACCCGGUCCAGAGGUCGGUGGUUCGAAUCCACUCGGUCGUACCA